UACAGAGGUCUCAAGCGUUGUUCGGAUUCAUUGGGCGUAAAGGGUGCGUAGGCGGCGCGGUAAGUCGGGUGUGAAAUCUCGGAGCUUAACUCCGAAACUGCAUUCGAUACUGCCGUGCUUGAGGACUGGAGAGGAGACUGGAAUUUACGGUGUAGCGGUGAAAUGCGUAGAUAUCGGAAGGAAGACCAGUGGCGAAGGCGGGUCUCUGGACAGCUCCUGACGCUGAGGCGCGAAGGCUAGGGGAGCAAACGGG
RNAcentral lists this ribosomal RNA (253 nucleotides) under uncultured bacterium. RNAcentral describes it as "partial 16S ribosomal RNA". It matches the Rfam family "Bacterial small subunit ribosomal RNA", at positions 524 to 776 of the family's 1533-position model. The record is from RNAcentral.